RNAcentral lists this ribosomal RNA (253 nucleotides) under uncultured bacterium. Its description in RNAcentral is "partial 16S ribosomal RNA". It matches the Rfam family "Bacterial small subunit ribosomal RNA", at positions 524 to 776 of the family's 1533-position model. The record is from RNAcentral.
UACGUAGGUGGCAAGCGUUGUCCGGAUUUACUGGGCGUAAAGGGAGCGUAGGUGGAUUUUUAAGUGAGAUGUGAAAUGCUCGGGCUCAACCUGAGAACUGCAUUUCAAACUGGAAAUCUAGAGUGCAGGAGAGGAAAGUGGAAUUCCUAGUGUAGCGGUGAAAUGCGUAGAUAUUAGGAAGAACACCAGUGGCGAAGGCGACUUUCUGGACUGUAACUGACACUGAGGCUCGAAAGCGUGGGGAGCAAACAGG